This 316-nucleotide small nuclear RNA is filed under the name Cebus imitator (Panamanian white-faced capuchin). RNAcentral's name for it is "7SK RNA (ENSCCAG00000010920.1)". It matches the Rfam family "7SK RNA". From Rfam's summary of the family: 7SK was discovered as an abundant small nuclear RNA in the mid-70s but a possible function has only recently been suggested. Two independent studies have found that 7SK RNA binds the CDK9/cyclin T complex (known as elongation factor P-TEFb). Lineage: Eukaryota; Metazoa; Chordata; Mammalia; Primates; Cebidae. The record is from RNAcentral.
GGAUGUGAGGGUGAUCUGGCUGUGACAUCUGUCACCCCAUUGAUUGCCAGGAUUGAUUUGGCUGAUCCAGCUGGCUAGGUGGGUGUCCGCUUCCUCCCUCACCCAUUCUUGUGCAUCCCUCAUGAAGCUGCGUGCUUGGUUGAAGAGGAUGACCAUCCCCGAUAGAGGAGGACCGGUCUUCGGUCAAGGGUACACGAGUAGCUGUGCUCCCCUGCUAGAACCUCCAAACAAACUCUCAAAUAACAGCAAUGAUAUUAGUAAUAAUAAAGUACCAUCUUUAAAAAUAAAGGCAAAAAUUAUCAGUCUCUAAAUAUUA